RNAcentral lists this ribosomal RNA (1446 nucleotides) under uncultured organism. RNAcentral's name for it is "SSU rRNA". It matches the Rfam family "Bacterial small subunit ribosomal RNA". The record is from RNAcentral.
AACGCUAGCUACAGGCUUAACACAUGCAAGUCGAGGGGCAGCAUGGUCUUAGCUUGCUAAGGCCGAUGGCGACCGGCGCACGGGUGAGUAACACGUAUCCAACCUGCCGUCUACUCUUGGACAGCCUUCUGAAAGGAAGAUUAAUACAAGAUGGCAUCAUGAGUCCGCAUGUUCACAUGAUUAAAGGUAUUCCGGUAGACGAUGGGGAUGCGUUCCAUUAGAUAGUAGGCGGGGUAACGGCCCACCUAGUCUUCGAUGGAUAGGGGUUCUGAGAGGAAGGUCCCCCACAUUGGAACUGAGACACGGUCCAAACUCCUACGGGAGGCAGCAGUGAGGAAUAUUGGUCAAUGGGCGAGAGCCUGAACCAGCCAAGUAGCGUGAAGGAUGACUGCCCUAUGGGUUGUAAACUUCUUUUAUAAAGGAAUAAAGUCGGGUAUGCAUACCCGUUUGCAUGUACUUUAUGAAUAAGGAUCGGCUAACUCCGUGCCAGCAGCCGCGGUAAUACGGAGGAUCCGAGCGUUAUCCGGAUUUAUUGGGUUUAAAGGGAGCGUAGAUGGAUGUUUAAGUCAGUUGUGAAAGUUUGCGGCUCAACCGUAAAAUUGCAGUUGAUACUGGAUAUCUUGAGUGCAGUUGAGGCAGGCGGAAUUCGUGGUGUAGCGGUGAAAUGCUUAGAUAUCACGAAGAACUCCGAUUGCGAAGGCAGCCUGCUAAGCUGCAACUGACAUUGAGGCUCGAAAGUGUGGGUAUCAAACAGGAUUAGAUACCCUGGUAGUCCACACGGUAAACGAUGAAUACUCGCUGUUUGCGAUAUACAGCAAGCGGCCAAGCGAAAGCGUUAAGUAUUCCACCUGGGGAGUACGCCGGCAACGGUGAAACUCAAAGGAAUUGACGGGGCCCGCACAAGCGGAGGAACAUGUGGUUUAAUUCGAUGAUACGCGAGGAACCUUACCCGGGCUUAAAUUGCAGAUGAAUUACGGUGAAAGCCGUAAGCCGCAAGGCAUCUGUGAAGGUGCUGCAUGGUUGUCGUCAGCUCGUGCCGUGAGGUGUCGGCUUAAGUGCCAUAACGAGCGCAACCCUUGUUGUCAGUUACUAACAGGUUCUGCUGAGGACUCUGACAAGACUGCCAUCGUAAGAUGUGAGGAAGGUGGGGAUGACGUCAAAUCAGCACGGCCCUUACGUCCGGGGCUACACACGUGUUACAAUGGGGGGUACAGAGGGCCGCUACCACGCGAGUGGAUGCCAAUCCCAAAAACCUCUCUCAGUUCGGACUGGAGUCUGCAACCCGACUCCACGAAGCUGGAUUCGCUAGUAAUCGCGCAUCAGCCACGGCGCGGUGAAUACGUUCCCGGGCCUUGUACACACCGCCCGUCAAGCCAUGGGAGCCGGGGGUAUCUGAAGUGCGUAACCGCGAGGAGCGCCCUAGGGUAAAACUGGUGACUGGGGCUA